Molecule: ribosomal RNA, 465 nt
Filed under: uncultured bacterium
Lineage: Bacteria
Description: partial 16S ribosomal RNA
Rfam family: Bacterial small subunit ribosomal RNA
Source: RNAcentral
GACGAACGCUGGCGGCGUGCUUAACACAUGCAAGUCGUACGGUAAGGCCCUUUCGGGGGUACACGAGUGGCGAACGGGUGAGUAACACGUGAGUAACCUGCCCACAACUUUGGGAUAACGCUAGGAAACUGGUGCUAAUACUGGAUAUGUGCUCCUGCUGCAUGGUGGGGGUUGGAAAGCUCCGGCGGUUGUGGAUGGACUCGCGGCCUAUCAGCUUGUUGGUGGGGUAGUGGCCUACCAAGGCGGCGACGGAUAGCCGGCCUGAGAGGGUGACCGGCCACAUUGGGACUGAGAUACGGCCCAGACUCCUACGGGAGGCAGCAGUGGGGAAUAUUGCACAAUGGGCGCAAGCCUGAUGCAGCAACGCCGCGUGCGGGAUGACGGCCUUCGGGUUGUAAACCGCUUUCAGCAGGGACGAAGCUUUUUGUGACGGUACCUGCAGAAGAAGCACCGGCUAACUACGUG